This 282-nucleotide ribosomal RNA is filed under the name uncultured prokaryote. RNAcentral describes it as "partial 16S ribosomal RNA". It matches the Rfam family "Bacterial small subunit ribosomal RNA", at positions 524 to 803 of the family's 1533-position model. The record is from RNAcentral.
CACGUAGGAGACGAGCGUUAUCCGGAUUCACUGGGCGUAAAGGGCAAGUAGGCGGUUGCUUAAGUUGGGCGUGACAAUCUCUGGCUUAACUAGGGAAGGACGUUCAAAACUAGGCAACUCGAGGGCAGGAGAGGAAAGCGGAAUUCCUAGUGUAGCGGUGGAAUGCUCAGAUACUAGGAGGAACACCGGUGGCGAAGGCGGCUUUCUGGUCUGCACCUGACGCUGAGAGGCGAAAGCUAGGGUAGCGAACGGGCUUAGAUACCCCCGUAGUCCCUGAGCGGG